AGUCGAGCGAUACUUUUUUCUUGAGAUGGUGAAGCCGCAAGGCUGAUCUGUUGAGAGAAAAAAGAUAUAGCGGCAGACUGGUGAGUAACACGUGAGUAAUUUACCUCUAAGUCGGGGAUAGCCUUGCGAAAGCGAGGGUAAUACCCGAUGUGUCACUUGCUGCAAAAGCAGCAAGUGGUAAAGAAGGCCCGCAAGGGUUUUUGUUUAGAGAUGAGCUCGCGUCCUACCAGCUAGUUGGUAGGGUAAUGGCCUACCAAGGCUUUUGACGGGUAGCUGGCCUGAGAGGGUGGUCAGCCACAUGGGGACUGAGACACUGCCCCAACUCCUACGGGAGGCUGCAGUCGAGGAUAUUUAGCAAUGGGGGAAACCCUGACUAUGUGACGCCGCGCGAGGGAUGAAGGCCUUCGGGUUGUAAACCUCUUUCGAUAGGGAAGAAAACCUGUUCUUAACGGAACAGACUGACGGUACCUAGAGAAGAAGCCACGGCCAACUCUGUGCCAGCCGCCGCGGUAAUACA
Molecule: ribosomal RNA, 517 nt
Filed under: uncultured bacterium
Lineage: Bacteria
Description: bacterial SSU rRNA
Rfam family: Bacterial small subunit ribosomal RNA
Source: RNAcentral